Molecule: ribosomal RNA, 460 nt
Filed under: uncultured bacterium
Lineage: Bacteria
Description: partial 16S ribosomal RNA
Rfam family: Bacterial small subunit ribosomal RNA
Source: RNAcentral
CCUACGGGUGGCAGCAGUGAGGAAUAUUGGUCAAUGGACGAGAGUCUGAACCAGCCAAGUAGCGUGAAGGAUGAUUGCCCUAUGGGUUGUAAACUUCUUUUAUAUGGGAAUAACAUGCUCUACGUGUGGGACUUUGUAUGUACCAUAUGAAUAAGGAUCGGCUAACUCCGUGCCAGCAGCCGCGGUAAUACGGAGGAUCCGAGCGUUAUCCGGAUUUAUUGGGUUUAAAGGGAGCGUAGGUGGAUUGUUAAGUCUGUUGUGAAAGUUUCGGGCUCAACCCUAAAAUUGCAGUUGAAACUGGCGUGCUUGAGUACGCGAGAGGUAGGCGGAAUUCGUGGUGUAGCGGUGAAAUGCUUAGAUAUCACGAAGAACUCCGAUUGCGAAGGCAGCUUGCUGGACCGCAACUGACGCUGAGGCUCGAAAGUGUGGGUAUCGAACAGGAUUAGAUACCCCGGUAGUC